GUUGCUUCGGUAGUGUCAACAUAUUCUUCUCCAACUCUCUCCCAUUCAGAACACUGAAUCAUCGACCCUAGAGCCAACCGCAGUACCCGCUGAGCUAGCCCAGACCCCGGACAAGCCCUUCGUCCCAUCCCAAACGGUCUCGGUGAAUGGCCCAUACAUUUGCCAUUACCGUCGUGCCACGCUGGAAGUUGUAGCCUCCAACUAUGCAAUCAUCUGUCGCCUUACGUGGAGGUAACGGAGCUGCCGGGUAAAGUCGAAAAAUCUCUGAUACGAUACAUUGGAGGUAAGGAAGAUUCAAAGCAUCUGGUUCAUCCAUUAACCGGUCUAAACCAAUUUUGGUAUCGAUUUCAAUCUUUGCUUUCUUUAAUACUUCUGGAUGGUUCAACAAGUUCAACAUCGCCCAUUCCAAGGUUCUUGGUACCUAUACAAACAAAAGUCAAGCUUUAUUAAUUAUAUAGAUCUUGACUAGUGUUGUGUUAAUGAUGUAUUAAACAGAUUCCUGAAUACUUACAACUAUUAGUCCUUUGACGGUGACAUCCGUAUAAUUAUCAGGUUGAGUUUUUUGGAGAGAAAGCAAGUGAUCAAUCAUAGUGUUACCCUUUUCUUUUUGUGAACGUUUCUCCUCUACAAGUCCUUGAAGAAACUCGUCCACCCGAACCGCCAACUUCUUGACCCUUCUCUCAUAACUAGUAACCCAACGGAGGAGAGGAAGAUAGUCAGAGGCGUGUCCUACACCAGCACUUGAUACUGCUUCGUCAACCAACUGCCUCACGCGUUUUGAAUCGUCGUCUUGCUCUGCUCCGUCUCCAUAGAAUCGUUUUCCGGCUAUCAUCCUGAGGAUAUUAUUGAUUUGGAAGUUCCCAAACAGUGACCUCAACUCCACCUUUGCAAACUUCUGAAUUAUUAUCACAGAAACAAAGGUAGGAAUAAAAAAAAUGUUAAGAUUACCACAUGGAUAAGUAUAAGAUGGUACUGGAGCCAUGGAAAAAGGUGAGCGCCUUUAAAAACCAAGUAGAACUAUCCUACACAUUAACAACUGCUUCUAUUUGGAAAUCUAUGGAACUUGAAACAGUAUUGGAACUCAGUUUGGCAUGUGCAUCAGAGUCGGUCAGAGAUUUCAGGAGUUACAGUUUUUUUUUUGGUCAAAAAUAUUUUUCAACAGUUUAUGGAGGCUAUCUUCAUAUAUAUUAAACCAAUUAAGUUGGAUGUUGCUCCAAUGAUAUUUUAUUUUACAGUAAAAAAUAAAGUGAUGAACAAACAAAAAACAAAUUACAUCUAUAUAUAUAUAGUAAACCUAUUUUUUACUCUAUUAUAGAGUGAAAAAUAGAAUACCAUUGAAGCAUUUUUACUCUAAACUUUAUUUUAAAGUGAAAAAUAGAGUGGGAUUGGAGAUUUCUUAAGGAUAAUUGUUAAUUCAAGAGUACAAUGCACAAGAUUUUGAUUGGAUGUUCAAAUUAAUGAAAAUACACAAGCGAGUAAAAAUCCUCUAUAUAUAAAACAAUAAUCUCUAAAUACACAAACAUUUUUAAUCAAAACUGGAAAAGAUCUUAC
Long non-coding RNA from Brassica rapa (field mustard), 1551 nucleotides. RefSeq lists it as uncharacterized. NCBI's taxonomy places the organism in Eukaryota, Viridiplantae, Streptophyta, Magnoliopsida, Brassicales, Brassicaceae. The record is from RefSeq and is a predicted model, not a curated record.